RNAcentral lists this ribosomal RNA (463 nucleotides) under uncultured bacterium. Its description in RNAcentral is "partial 16S ribosomal RNA". It matches the Rfam family "Bacterial small subunit ribosomal RNA", at positions 28 to 507 of the family's 1533-position model. The record is from RNAcentral.
GAUGAACGCUGACAGAAUGCUUAACACAUGCAAGUCGAUGGGGAAGUGGUGCUUGCACCAUGGCAACCAUGGCGGACGGGUGAGUAACGCGUAAGGGACUUACCUGCAGGACUGGGAUAACAGGGGGAAACUCCUGACAAGACCGGAUAAUGUCAUGGAGCUGCAUGGCUUUAUGAUGAAAGGAGACGCCUGCGGAGAGCCUUGCGUCCUAUUAGCUAGUUGGUGAGGUAAUGGCUCACCAAGGCGAAGAUAGGUAGCCGGCCUGAGAGGGUGGACGGCCACAAGGGGACUGAGAUACGGCACUUACUCCUACGGGAGGCAGCAGUGGGGAAUAGUGGACAAUGGGGGCAACCCUGAUCCAGCAAUUCUGUGUGCACGAAGAAGGUUUUCGGAUUGUAAAGUGCUUUCAGCAGGGAAGAAGUAAGUGACGGUACCUGCAGAAGAAGCGACGGCUAAAUACGUG